AAGGCACGGGCCUGGCGUAAGUUCCCUGGAAAGGGACGCCAGAGAGGGUGACAGCCCCGUAGUCAGUCAGGCCGCGGCCGUACGGAUGCCUUCGAAGAGUCGGGUUGUUUGGGAUUGCAGCCCUAAAAGGGAGAUAAACUUCUUCUAAAGCUAAAUAUUUAUGGGAGACCGAUAGCGAACAAGUACUACGAAGGAAAGCAUGAAAAGAACUUUGAAAAGAGGGUUAAAAGACUUGAAACUGUUGAGAAGGAAGCGUUAGAAGAGCAAUUAUUCGACCGUGAUGUUGCCGAGUGAGCACGGGUCCCUGCGUCGUGGAGUACUUCAUCAGGCUUGCGGCGCACGGGGCAACUGGGCUUUGCGGCUUUUUCGCGGCCGAGAGGCAGAGUGAGGUCAACCGCUGCGGGAGUCAUUCAGGUGGACGCCCCUACCCUCGUGGUGGGAGCCGCCGGAAAAAACUGCAGACUGGCCUGAGGGUCCUUCGGGAGACUCUGUCAAAAUGGCUUCUAACUUCUCGUCUUGAAACACGGACCAAGGAGUCUAUCUAAUAUGCGAGUGUUAGGGUGGAGAAACCCGAACGCGUAACGAAAGUGAGUACAAGAUGCGAGGCGCAAGCUGCAGCAUCGGCCGGCCAUGACCCUCCGGGGAACGGUCCGCGCAAGAGCAUAUUCGGUAGGACCCGAAAGAUGGUGAACUACGCUUGAGUAGGGUGAAGCCAGGGGAAACUCUGGUGGAAGCUCGUAGCGAUACUGACGUGCAAAUCGUUCGUCAAACUUGAGUGUAGGGGCGAAAGACUAAUCGAACCAUCUAGUAGCUGGUUCCCUCUGAAGUUUCUCUCAGGAUAGCAGGAACAGAGACGCAGUUUUAUUAGGUAAAGCGAAUGAUUAGAGGACUCGGGGCACAAAGUGCCUUGACCUAUUCUCAAACUUUAAAUUGGUAAGAACCGGCAGUUUGCUUAAUUGAACUGUCGGGUUGAAUGCGGUGUUCCUAGUGGGCCAUUUUUGGUAAGCAGAACUGGCGAUGAGGGAUGAACCUAACGCUGAGAUAAGGUGCCCAAAUACGCGUUCAUGAGACCCCAUAAAAGGUGUUGGCUCAUUUAGACAGCAGGACGGUGGCCCUGGAAGUCGGAAUCCGCUAAGGAGUGUGUAACAACUCACCUGCCGAAUGAGCUAGCCCUGAAAAUGGAUGGCGCUGCAGCGCGUUACCGAUACUCAGCCAUUAGAGCAAAUGUGAGGCUCUAAUGAGUAAGAGGGCGUGAGCACUGUCUGGAAGCCUUUGGCGUGAGCCUGGGUGAAACAGUGUUUAGUGCAGAUCUUGGUGGUAGUAGCAAAUAUUCAAAUGAGAACUUUGAAGACCGAAGUGGAGAAGGGUUCCAUGAGAACAGCAAUUGGUCAUGGGUUACUCGAUCCUAAGACAUAGGGAAUUUCCUUGCAAAACAAAGGCGCUCGCGCCUGUUGUCAAAAGGGAAUGAGGUUAAUAUUCCUCAAGCUGGAGGUGGAUAACGUGUGGUAACACAAGUGAACCCGGAGACGUCAGCAUGACCCCCUGGAAGAGUUAUCUUUUCUUUUUAACAGAUCAUGGCCCUGAAAUUGGAUUAUCCAGAGCUAGGGCUGUAUGUCUGGCAGAGCAGCUCACCCUAAGAGCUGUCAGGUGCGUUCAUGAUGACCCUUGAAAAUCCGGGCGAGAGAUCUAUAUCACGCCAGAUCGUACCCAUAACCGCAUCAGGUCUCCAAGGUU
RNAcentral lists this ribosomal RNA (1734 nucleotides) under Paratetrahymena wassi. RNAcentral's name for it is "eukaryotic LSU rRNA". It matches the Rfam family "Eukaryotic large subunit ribosomal RNA", at positions 165 to 1874 of the family's 3401-position model. The record is from RNAcentral. Lineage: Eukaryota; Ciliophora; Oligohymenophorea; Philasterida; Loxocephalidae.